GAAUUGGGGCUCAAAGAGAGCAAAAGCAAUGCUAAUCCAAGCGGCCGCCGGUUGUUUCGUCAUCGGCAUCAUAAGAGAGGAUGCAAUUGUGAACGUGUGCACUCAGAUUUAUUGAAAGGGAACAAUGAACCAAGACGAAGAGAACCUCAAACCAUGGAUUUCGGGUGGUGGAUGACCGUUUCUUCUUACUAUAUAAGGUGCCUAACUUCUCCUCAUAGUCAGUCAACUUUCAGUGGUGUCUUCUAACUCACAAAAUAUGAAGGUUUUCGUGUGUUUACUUUUAAUUUCCGUUGUUACCGUCAACGGUGGCUUUCUUAGUUCUGGAGGAGGUGGUGGUGGCUAUGGAGGUGGGGGCGGCGGUGGUUACGGAGGAGGAGGAGGUG
This is a non-coding RNA of Onthophagus taurus, 383 nucleotides long. Lineage: Eukaryota; Metazoa; Arthropoda; Insecta; Coleoptera; Scarabaeidae. The record is from RefSeq and is a predicted model, not a curated record.